RNAcentral lists this long non-coding RNA (1040 nucleotides) under Betta splendens (Siamese fighting fish). RNAcentral's name for it is "lncRNA (ENSBSLG00000011451.1)". Lineage: Eukaryota; Metazoa; Chordata; Actinopteri; Anabantiformes; Osphronemidae. The record is from RNAcentral.
CAGUGACGACUGAUUGACACCAAUACCCACUGAGCAGCCGGGAAAUUGCAGUCAAUCAGAGCGUAGCUGUGGUGUCGAUUCUGAUGAGGGUAGGACUUUCACAUCUGUGCUGAGGCGCCGCUUUCUCCUGGCGGACCGCCACUGCUGUCAGAACCCGCUGAAGCAGACAGGAAGCUGGUCCCAGCAGGAAAAGCUGAGGUGUAGUGGAAGAUUAGAAUUUGCACAUGGUUUAACUAAAUAGGAGUGAAAGGAAUUAGAGACCAGCGUCCGAGCUCUUAGUUCAUGUGAUCAUGUAGCGGAGGAAGUGGGCCUGCGCCGGUGGAUGGAUGGUUCUGGCUCUACACGUGGACCCCUCCCGCUCCGGCACUAAGACUCUGAUGAGGACUCGGCUUGUGCUGUGACGUGUAACUUUGGUGGGCACAUGGACCGUCAGAUGUGGGCUCAGGUCAGAGCGUCCGAGUGCACGCAGCUGUGAGAGGACAAAGAGGUGUGUAGACGUCUUCCUGGCUUCAGCACCGCACAUUAUUGCUGCUUCAGCUCAUCCUACAACGUACAUGGGACUCACUGCUGAGCCAGCGGGCAGCCAGGGAGCUAAUUAGCUUCCUCCUGUCUGGAGUGUGUGGUCAGAGCAGGCUUCGCGUGGAGCCUUCCACUUCUGUGACUUCCAGCAUCGCAGGGAGGAGGAGGCUGGAGGGGGCCGGUGGGGACAGGUGGAGGCCGGAGGUGUGAUCGCGCCGUGGCUGAGAGACUCUUGAAUAACAUAAAGGUGUGUUGAACCUAGACGUGAACCCAUGAAAGCUGCUGAACUGAUCAACGGACUGUUAAGUUUCCAAAUGUUCACGCCUGAUGUUUCUGGUGUUAUUCUAGUGUCACCAAAUGCAAAUGUGCCUUUUGGUUAAACACGUUCACAUCACUGAAUUCAAGAGAAGCUUUAAAACACAUUUGAAGGCCUGUUGCUGAUCCUCCCCCUCAGAGGCGUUGCUAGGCAACCAGAUAAACACAUUGUCUGCAAGGAGAUAUGUGUUGCACUCUCAGCGCUG